AUAACAUUAAUAUGUCAAAUUAAAAUUAUUAUAAAAUAAUAUUUCUUU
RNAcentral lists this transfer RNA (48 nucleotides) under Geoica setulosa. RNAcentral's name for it is "partial transfer RNA-Asp". The record is from RNAcentral. Lineage: Eukaryota; Metazoa; Arthropoda; Insecta; Hemiptera; Aphididae.